CUGUUCUGCAUCUAGACUAGUCCCAGGGGGCUCUCCUGUGAGCCAGCCUGGCCAAUGCUGGUCCCUAAGCUCCCAUUUGACAAAGGAGAACAUGAUGUGGUGGUUGGAAUAGACCUCACAGGAAGAGGGGUGUGGUCCCUUAGUGAGAGAACAUGAAGAGAUUGUGAUGAUAUUAAACAUUUCAGCUGUGCCUACUACAGCCAGGCCUUAUUCUAAAUGCUUUAACCCAUGUGGUUAUUCUUCAAAACUCUGUAUCUGCUCCAUAAGGUCUGCUUUAUAGGUUAAAAGAUCUAGAGAACUCUCUGGUUUAGAACUCUGAGCCAAGAUUACCAUCUACAAAGAUCUUUGGAGACCAAUAAAUCGUUAGGCUAAUUUGGAAAGCCACAGAAAAUGUUUUAUUUUAAUUAUGUUU
Long non-coding RNA from Mastomys coucha (southern multimammate mouse), 412 nucleotides. RefSeq lists it as uncharacterized. Lineage: Eukaryota; Metazoa; Chordata; Mammalia; Rodentia; Muridae. The transcript is spliced from 3 exons. The record is from RefSeq and is a predicted model, not a curated record.